This 43-nucleotide small RNA is filed under the name Sinorhizobium meliloti 2011. Its description in RNAcentral is "putative ncRNA". The record is from RNAcentral. Lineage: Bacteria; Pseudomonadati; Pseudomonadota; Alphaproteobacteria; Hyphomicrobiales; Rhizobiaceae.
AGCGGAACCUUCGCCGCUGACGAGAUCGAAGAAGUCCUUGCCU